Molecule: small nuclear RNA, 105 nt
Organism: Cynocephalus volans (Philippine flying lemur)
Lineage: Eukaryota; Metazoa; Chordata; Mammalia; Dermoptera; Cynocephalidae
Source: RefSeq, a predicted model, not a curated record
GUUCAUUUUGGCAGCACAUAUACUAAAAUUGGAACUAUACAGAGAAGAUUAGCAUGGUUCUGAUGAAAGGAUUACAUGCAAAUCUGUGUAACAUCCGUAUUUUCG